Long non-coding RNA from Mya arenaria, 2105 nucleotides. RefSeq lists it as uncharacterized. NCBI's taxonomy places the organism in Eukaryota, Metazoa, Mollusca, Bivalvia, Myida, Myidae. The record is from RefSeq and is a predicted model, not a curated record. The transcript is spliced from 3 exons.
UGGAAUUUCUACAUCGUCGAUUAAUAGUUGGAUACUCGGUUUUGUCAUGAAUAUACGUUUAAAAUAAGUAAACACUAAAAGUGCACACUGACAUUUGAUUACGAUACAUCUAACAAUUUGAGUCAUUACAGUAAAACAUGGAUUAUAAGUGAAUUAUACGCGUAAGAGAAGAUUUUCUGUCGAAACAACUAAUGUCAACAAUCAGCAUGGAAUUGGGAUAUUCGUAUCAAAGGGCCAUUCAUGCAGGAAAAGGACUGAAUAUUACUAUUAUAUGAAGAAUUCCAGCCUGCAUUAAAUACUUUGUUGGAUCAUUGAGACAGAUUUGACAUCCAUGUCUAUCCACAUCUGAUAGAGAUGAUCACUAAACAUUCUAGAUGGGUAAAGACCUGUUAAAUCAGCAUUGACUCAGCAUUGAGUAAUUUUCAUCUGUACAGACACUACAAGUACAAACGCAUGGGAACAAACCAAACUUCAAAUGUUGAAGAGUGAAGAAUUAUUGUGAAAAGUUCUAAAUGUUAGAAUACCAUUGACUAAAUAAAACAAAUAGACAUCGAUUACCAACAGAGACUGUUUACAUGUUAUAAUAUUCAAAAGACAUUAGUUGAGAACUUUCACUCUGACAUUUUUGGAGGGGCAUUACCGCCUACUUAGUGUUCUUGUUUCUUUACAUAUUUUAAUUUAAAAGUACAUUCAUUGUUUUUAAAUCUGAAUUCUGAGUUAGUAUCAUAAGUAAAAUUCAUUUUUGAAUGAUUACAUUUUAUGAAUAAGUCCAAUUGAGCUUUUUACAAGAAAAAGGUUGAUUUUUAAGCAUUUUAUUAGUUAUAAAAAUGUAUAGUUACAUGACAUUAUGUAUAUUUUCUUCAAAACUGAACGGUAAACUAUCAUAAAUUGUCUUUUGAAUUGUUCAUUAGACAUCAUAGAAAAUAUUUAAAUGAUUUCAGCAGGUUGUCUUAUUAUUAACUAUUUUUUAUGAAUUUAUAAAACUGCUAUAUAUUUUCAAACAUCGAAAUACUGCUCUGUUCCGAAGACUCACAAGAUCAAUCAAAAUGAUUUUUUUCCAUGUGUAUCAAUAAUAUGUUCGGUUGAACGUAAUUUUUCUGUUAACUGAAGUUUAUUUUACCAGAAACUGUUGUGUUUAUUUCAUAAUCUCUGAUAAUGUGAAAAAAAAUCAAAUAAAGACAAAAUAUUUUUAAUUAACAGUAAAAAAUCUUCAAAAUUUGGAUAAAAGUCCCAUAACGUACCAUGAUAAUAACUAUGUUGUCCGUAAAAGCUUAUAAAAGUGUGUUUUACUUAUACCUUAAUUCAGUUCAAAUAAUUAUGGCCUUUAAGGAUUUGUGUUUUCAUAAUAUAGAUUUCCUGUUAUAUUGAGCUUUGUCAAUUUGUGUUGAUGUUUUGAUUUAUGUACAAUUACUACUUCUAUUUCCUAACUUUUGUCUCAUUUGUCAAAUUGAAUUGUUACAUAUUUAAGUGAAAAAACACACACACUAUUUUUAAAGAUGCACUCUUACUCCCCAAUAAGACUUAUGAUAAUUAAUAUUAUUGUUUUCAUUUUUCAAAAUGGGUUGAUAGAUGUCAACAACAAUGUUUCUAAUGAAGGAUCUUGAGUUCAAUUUGCUAAUAAGAAUGAACUUAAAACAUGGUAUUUCUGCCUUACAUAUUUAAGUGAAAAAACACACACACUAUUUUUAAAGAUGCACUCUUACUCCCCAAUAAGACUUAUGAUAAUUAAUAUUAUUGUUUUCAUUUUUCAAAAUGGGUUGAUAGAUGUCAACAACAAUGUUUCUAAUGAAGGAUCUUGAGUUCAAUUUGCUAAUAAGAAUGAACUUAAAACAUGGUAUUUCUGCCUUGUGAUACUAUAGUAGACCACAGUAAAUCUUUUCCCGGGUCUGUUUAAAAUAAGAAAGGAAAAUAACACAACACCUACCCAAACAUACAAUCAUUGACACCCUUAUAGUAUAUACAACAUACUCAAUUAACACAUCCCUGGCCUACCAGUUUAAAUUGAUGGGAUCCAAUAUUUAUUUGAGAGCUGGCUGAAGUUUCAACCAGUGAAAAAUAUCUCAAUAUGUUUGAAACAGUGAAAGGUUGUUUUUAUUGUUUAUAAA